UGUGAGUGUCUUCUGCACCAGAAGGGCACAC
This 31-nucleotide non-coding RNA is filed under the name Rattus norvegicus (Norway rat). Lineage: Eukaryota; Metazoa; Chordata; Mammalia; Rodentia; Muridae. The record is from RNAcentral.